This 650-nucleotide long non-coding RNA is filed under the name Numida meleagris (helmeted guineafowl). RNAcentral describes it as "lncRNA (ENSNMEG00000009955.1)". The record is from RNAcentral. Lineage: Eukaryota; Metazoa; Chordata; Aves; Galliformes; Numididae.
GAAGAAGUUCACUGUUGUUCACUGCUGCAUUUGGACUUUUAGGAUAUGCAAAAACGUUGUCUAACAACUUUCAGAACAGAAGCAUAGAAGCUAUUUUGGGUUGGGAUCAUUCUGCUGCUGUUGGUUUUGUGUGGUGCAAACAGAGAGCUGAUGCAGAAGUAAUUAUAACAGCAACAGCUGGGCUAGUCUAAGGCAAAUAGUGAGAGGAAGGCAAUACCUGUUACUAGCUCAAAUGUCAUUCAGAAAAAAGGGGUAAGUUUCUGGGCACACCAGUUUUUUUCAUUUUUGUUUUUAAGUCUGUUGUUGCCAGUUGUCUUAACUGCUCUACUAAAAAUCAUGGUUUCUCCCUGCAGAGCUUCUCUUGUUGUAGCAGCCGUGGCUUUCUACAAUUUCUCCAUUCUCUCUGCUCUGAAGGAGUGUGAAACUACUGGGCAGUUAUGUCAAGUCCCUGGGGCCAAUGGCAGAGUUGUGGGGCAAACGUCUUUGUGGUCCAAGUGGGGCACGUUCUGGUUGUGUGCUGCAUGAGUGCUGUGACAUGUACCACACAUAUGCUGCAGGGCUGUUGGUGGCAUCUGGGGAACGCCUACCUUUCAAACAGAUCUUCCAUUUUGCUAUGGCAAAGCACAAAGGUCAGGACUCCACUAUGGUAG